This 1412-nucleotide ribosomal RNA is filed under the name Lactiplantibacillus plantarum. Its description in RNAcentral is "bacterial SSU rRNA". It matches the Rfam family "Bacterial small subunit ribosomal RNA", at positions 63 to 1441 of the family's 1533-position model. The record is from RNAcentral. Lineage: Bacteria; Bacillati; Bacillota; Bacilli; Lactobacillales; Lactobacillaceae.
CGAACGAACUCUGGUAUUGAUUGGUGCUUGCAUCAUGAUUUACAUUUGACUGAGUGGCGAACUGGUGAGUAACACGUGGGAAACCUGCCCAGAAGCGGGGGAUAACACCUGGAAACAGAUGCUAAUACCGCAUAACAACUUGGACCGCAUGGUCCGAGUUUGAAAGAUGGCUUCGGCUAUCACUUUUGGAUGGUCCCGCGGCGUAUUAGCUAGAUGGUGGGGUAACGGCUCACCAUGGCAAUGAUACGUAGCCGACCUGAGAGGGUAAUCGGCCACAUUGGGACUGAGACACGGCCCAAACUCCUACGGGAGGCAGCAGUAGGGAAUCUUCCACAAUGGACGAAAGUCUGAUGGAGCAACGCCGCGUGAGUGAAGAAGGGUUUCGGCUCGUAAAACUCUGUUGUUAAAGAAGAACAUAUCUGAGAGUAACUGUUCAGGUAUUGACGGUAUUUAACCAGAAAGCCACGGCUAACUACGUGCCAGCAGCCGCGGUAAUACGUAGGUGGCAAGCGUUGUCCGGAUUUAUUGGGCGUAAAGCGAGCGCAGGCGGUUUUUUAAGUCUGAUGUGAAAGCCUUCGGCUCAACCGAAGAAGUGCAUCGGAAACUGGGAAACUUGAGUGCAGAAGAGGACAGUGGAACUCCAUGUGUAGCGGUGAAAUGCGUAGAUAUAUGGAAGAACACCAGUGGCGAAGGCGGCUGUCUGGUCUGUAACUGACGCUGAGGCUCGAAAGUAUGGGUAGCAAACAGGAUUAGAUACCCUGGUAGUCCAUACCGUAAACGAUGAAUGCUAAGUGUUGGAGGGUUUCCGCCCUUCAGUGCUGCAGCUAACGCAUUAAGCAUUCCGCCUGGGGAGUACGGCCGCAAGGCUGAAACUCAAAGGAAUUGACGGGGGCCCGCACAAGCGGUGGAGCAUGUGGUUUAAUUCGAAGCUACGCGAAGAACCUUACCAGGUCUUGACAUACUAUGCAAAUCUAAGAGAUUAGACGUUCCCUUCGGGGACAUGGAUACAGGUGGUGCAUGGUUGUCGUCAGCUCGUGUCGUGAGAUGUUGGGUUAAGUCCCGCAACGAGCGCAACCCUUAUUAUCAGUUGCCAGCAUUAAGUUGGGCACUCUGGUGAGACUGCCGGUGACAAACCGGAGGAAGGUGGGGAUGACGUCAAAUCAUCAUGCCCCUUAUGACCUGGGCUACACACGUGCUACAAUGGAUGGUACAACGAGUUGCGAACUCGCGAGAGUAAGCUAAUCUCUUAAAGCCAUUCUCAGUUCGGAUUGUAGGCUGCAACUCGCCUACAUGAAGUCGGAAUCGCUAGUAAUCGCGGAUCAGCAUGCCGCGGUGAAUACGUUCCCGGGCCUUGUACACACCGCCCGUCACACCAUGAGAGUUUGUAACACCCAAAGUCGGUGGGGUAACCU